This 388-nucleotide unclassified non-coding RNA is filed under the name fungal sp. RNAcentral's name for it is "partial internal transcribed spacer region". The stretch from base 1 to 46 matches the Rfam family "Eukaryotic small subunit ribosomal RNA", at positions 1786 to 1831 of the family's 1831-position model. Lineage: Eukaryota; Fungi. The record is from RNAcentral.
AAGUCGUAACAAGGUUUCCGUAGGUGAACCUGCGGAAGGAUCAUUAACACGUAUCCAAACGUUAAAACCCCCCCCGUGAACAUUCAAUCCUGCUCUUGUAACCCGCGGCGCUUGCAAUCUCUGGUAAAUCAAUGUGGAGAAAAUUGGAACAGUUACAAUUCGAGCGGUAGGUUUAUAGGCCUUGUUUCCCCAAGCAGUCAGUGUCUGAAAGCGUCAUUGAUUGUGCAAGGAUAGCGCUUCACGAUUCCUGUAGACCGUACACUCGGGCAGGAGCUAGGCCAAAGGGUCACCAUGCCCCCUUACAACCCCACAGUUUAUUGCAAAGCUCAAUGUAAUACAUUGGGUAAAAAAACUUGAACAACUGUUAACAAUGGAUAUCUUGGUUCUC